Chelonia mydas (Green sea turtle) is the source of this 2716-nucleotide long non-coding RNA. RefSeq lists it as uncharacterized. The transcript has 3 exons. The record is from RefSeq and is a predicted model, not a curated record. Lineage: Eukaryota; Metazoa; Chordata; Testudines; Cheloniidae.
CGCUGGCGCGUUCCAGGUGAGCGCGGCGGCCACUCGGCCGCAGCGCGCUGUCUCCGGCGGGUGUCGGCGCCCCGCCUGCUGCCGGCCCCAGAGUCUGCGUUCGGCCGUGGGCUCUGCGAAUGGCUGCGUGGGGGCCCCCAGCCGGGCAACGAGGCGCACUGCAGCCUUGUGACGCUGGACCUGGGCCAGUCACGUCUGGGGCGACGCCUGGGGUCGGUUCUGCCACUUACUUUAGGUUGAUGUUUGCAGAGUGCUUUGGCCAUCAAAGCGCGGUCAUUGUCUAAAGAAGCAAGAGAUGCCGCAAUAGUUCAGUGGAGGGAAGCACAGGGAUACCGUGCUAUUACUACAGUCCAGCACACAGCAGGAGCUUGGAUUUUAAGAAAUCUGUUUGGUAAACAAAAGCUGGGAGUAGAAGCUAGUGAAUAAACAAUAUGGACAAUGGGAGAAGAUUGCAAAACAUACAUUGAGGAUAACUGGAGUAAGUCAGUUAAUGACACAGGACACUUGGACUUGCAUGAUGACAGUGGGCCCACUGUAAGUCUCAAGGGGCUCCUCUGGUUCACAUGGAAAUGAAGCAGUGGGAGCCAUUGUUUCCCAAGAGAGUAAGGAAAUCUGUGAGACAAGUUCAAACAAAGGGGUAGAUUCAUCACUGCUGCACUGACUAGAAGUUGGAUAGUCAUCCCAUCCAUUGUCAAUUUAAUUUUACAGCCAAACCACUAGAAAAAGUGAAGAUGGCCAUUGGACCUGCCUGCAUCUGAAGGGGUGGAAAGGCUGUGGAUUUCUGACAUUUCUGAUUGUUCUUGUUCCUUAUUGGAAUGCUGUUUGUGUGUUCAGGCAGAAUGCCUGUCCCAAAGUCAACAAUCCAGCCUGUUCCAAAGUCACACGCUGGGUAGAAUUAGUCCCUUUGACUGUGUCACUCCGACAGUCUAUAUUUCACACCCUGUUUGCCAGGGCAGUGUUUUCCCCAGGAAUUGAAAUUAGGGGUGUGUGUUAAAAAAUACGUGUGUCUAUGUGUGUGAGGACUGAUGAGGGACGAUACCAUUAGGGCGAAGAUGGGCUGUAUGGCACCAUAGUAAAAACUGAAUAAUGUGUCACAACCAUUUUAUUAGAUUUAACUCAUGUUUUUAAAUCAUCACACAAAUUAAAGUUGGCUACACAAGUCUACUAGGAAGCACUACAUCUACAUCUUUCUUGUUGUAAUUUUGCACAACUCCGUUAAUGAACUUCUUGAAUGCAGUGCAUUCAUCUUUGGUGUCUUCUCAUGUGUCCGGUACUCCCAGUCCUUCAUGGUACACUCAUGAUCAUGCAGAAGGCGACUUCUUUCAGAACACAAAAUUCUAUUCAAUGAGGAAAAAGAACGCUCAGCUGGAGCUGUUGUGAGGGGGAGUAGAAAGAGAUGAAUUCCUACGUAUUUAAUUCCAGGAAACAUAACACAAAAAUUGGGUCAAACCACUAGCGAUGAUAAAAAAGAAGUUGAAGUCAAAUCUUCAUUCAUUUGUCGUAUGAUAUUCCAUUCUUUGUUCAAAUUCUCUAUUCUGUCCUGAUCCCGUGGCAGCCCCAUUGUAGGUAGUGCCUCACUCCACUCAACUGUUGGUGUUUUAUUAGACAGGCUUCUGUAAAAGCUAUGUAGAGGUUGAUAGAAUCCAGAAGUUGCUGUUGUAGAGAUGUAAGAAUCAAGUCUGUGUACUUUACUUUUUCAGUGGGCUUAACAAGCACUUCUUGUCUUCUUCGCUUAAAGAAUCAAUAUAAGUGCCCUAAUUAGUCAACUUCUGAACUGAAGUCUUUGUUUCUUCCGUUUUCAGUGGAUAUCUCUCUGAUUGAUCCAAGCGUAGCUUCAAUUGCUGGACAGAGAUCUACCACUGUUGUAGCAGAUGCCUGGAUGGCAUUGUUUAAUGACCCAAGGGUUUCAACAGUAGACUUACAAGAGAGAAUGGCGAUGGUUUUCUCUGAACUUAGUAGCAAAAACAGGCCACUAGCCUCACUACUUAGAUCCGUCCUAUCUUGGUAGAUACUUUCCAAAGCCAAUAAUAAUGGUUUUAGUAAUUUUAAGCCAACAGCCAAGGAUCGCUCAUAAGAAAGCCAGUAGGUUUUCCCAGGUUGGACCAAUCUGAACUUCAGCCCCAGUGUAUCUUCUGUAUUUUCCAAGAUGUUCAGUCCUUUUCGAAGCUUGCUCAAAAAAGGGUAUAAUAAAGAUAUUAAAUUUAUAGCUUUUUAAAUGCCUUUUGAAGAUUCUGCAGCUCAUACUAGUUCUAGUUAGAGUAGGUAGCCUCUGCAGGGUAUAUAGGAGAAUUUAGAGUUACACUUUUCUCUGAGCAAAGCUUGUACUCCACUAUGUUUGCUAGAGAAGUUUGCAACUCCCUCAAAUGCACAAGUAGCCAUCUCUUUGGGGUUCAAUCUACAACCAUUUAGCUCUUCUAAGAUGUGGGUUGUCAGAGAUGCAGCCGAUGUGUCUUCUAUAACCUGAACUAUGACAUUGCACUCCAUAUGCUUUAUGAAAAUAUGCUUAUGAAUGUGAAUAUGAUGUAACUGGAAUAUGCUUUAUGCAAAAGGUCUCUUGUAAGGUGUCAUUACAAAACUUAUAAUCUACUGAGUGUGUUCAUCCUAUUUGUUUGCAUGUAUUAUUUCUAUGUCUGAAGUUAGGAGAAUAAGAUAUAACCUUGUAUCAUUGAUGUAAACAUAUUAAGUGGAAGCCAUUAAAGGUGUUUCAGAAUCAAUG